UAAACUAGGAUUAGAUACCCUAUUAUUUAAAAUGUAAAUAUUUGCUAAGGUAGUAAUAGUUUUAUUCUUUAAACCUAAAGAAUUUGGCGGUGUUUUAGUCCAUUCAGAGGAAUUUGUCCUGUUAUCGAUAGUCCCCGUUGUAUCUUACUUUUAUUUGUUUAGUUUGUAUAUCGUCGUUAUUAGCUUAUUUUUUAAGAAUUAAUUUGCUUAAAAUUUUAUUAAUUAAUAUAUCAGAUCAAGGUGCAGCUUAUGUAUAAGUAGAGAUGAAUUACAAUAUUAUUUUAGUAUAUGGAUGUUUAUUUUAUAAUUUUAUUGAAAGUGGAUUUGUUAGUAAUUUUUAUUAUAAUGUUAAAUUGAUUUUGGCUCUAAAAUGAGUACACAUCG
This 384-nucleotide ribosomal RNA is filed under the name Neopromachus wallacei. Its description in RNAcentral is "partial 12S ribosomal RNA". Lineage: Eukaryota; Metazoa; Arthropoda; Insecta; Phasmatodea; Phasmatidae. The record is from RNAcentral.